Long non-coding RNA from Monodelphis domestica (gray short-tailed opossum), 1107 nucleotides. RefSeq lists it as uncharacterized. Lineage: Eukaryota; Metazoa; Chordata; Mammalia; Didelphimorphia; Didelphidae. The record is from RefSeq and is a predicted model, not a curated record.
ACAAUGAGAAAGGCAGCAUCAUAUGUCGGAAUGGGGGGAGGACGGCUCAGUUGUAUAAUCGUUUUAAACAUGAUUCUCUAAAGAAACAUCUGAUCGGGAUUAUCUAGCCAUUCAUUCAAACGCAACAAGACUUAAGGAUGGGCUCUUCAUUUUCAGAGGCUCUAAGGGGGGAAUCGGAAAAUAGCAGCUGCUGAAAAAAUAAAUAAGUGGCCCUCCUGGAGAUGGAGAUUCGGAGGACGGCGAGCUCCAGGCAGCAGCGGCCCUCCGAGCUGAGCCGAAGAGAUGCUGACAAACGAAAAGGAACGUUUCUAGACAACACACAGAAUUGGCAUGGCCUGAUGAGGAGAGGAACAGCCUUGCUGGCAAGAAGCUGACAAAAAAAGGACUCUGCAAUAUAUACAUCAAAGCUUCUGCAAAUGGCUGAGAAACCCGGAUUGCACCCUCUGCUUAUUAUUCACAAAUCAACUGGUAAAUGGGAAAUGAAGCCCAAGGAGUGGCGCAGGAUCUGCCAAGCUGUAGCUACCAUAAUUACUAAGAAGACCCAAGCGGAUUAAUAUUUCAUUCUCAAGAACAAUAGUUAAAUCAUAAAAAUGCCUUUUUGGGAAACAAGCCCCCGAUCCAAGAGCUCUAUUUGACUGUAGAAUGAGUCAAAGAAGGGCUUGUCUUCUCCUCCCCCAAAUGGAAAAUUUCACUAAUUCCAAAUUCCGACCUUAGGGAUUGCACAUCUAUCCCCCUUUCUUAAAAGGCAGGAAAGAAAAAAAGUUGGACUUGCCUAGGGACUCAUAACCUUGCAGAGGUGUGCAAAGCAUGGAAGAAACAAAGUCAGUUUCAUUGAUGAGAACCUGAAUUGGUAUCUAUAAAUGAUGUGAGCCUUUUCUAGUAGGAGAUCAAGGAAUUCUUCACACUGGACUAUCAGAGGAGUGCCCAUCCUCACAAUAUUCCCUGAUGUCAGGCGACCACAAUUUGAAAGACUUCAGCACCUGAAGGUCCCAUCAGAAUAAGCUUCCUAAGAGAGUUUUGCAGUUGGGAUUCACUCAUGAAAUUUGCAAAAAGAUUUUCCCUUCCUCUCUCCUCCUCUCCCAGAUUAAAGGCCCUUAUUUAUGAAAA